CAAUGUAUUGGGUAGGGGAGCGUUGUAUACGCGGUGAAACAGUAGCGUAAGCGGCUGUGGAGUGUAUAGAAGUGAGAAUGCCGGAAUGAGUAGCGCGAAUGCAGUGAGAAUCUGCAUGGCCGAAAGCCUCAGGUUUCUGGAGGAAGGUUCGUCCGCUCCAGGUUAGUCGGGAGCUAAGGUGAGGCCUAACGGCGUAGCCGAUGCACAGACGGUAGAGAUUCCGUCACCACCAAAAGAGUUAAACACAGGGACACAUUUGAAGUCUCGGAGCCGGGUGUUGGUUCCGGUAGCGAUCGAGGGAAAUUAGUACCGAAGUCCGAGAUGGAAGAUGGCGAGAGAAGCUGUGUGUAUUUCUGCGGUGCCCGUACCGCAAACCGACACAGGUAGGUAGGAAGAAGAUUCUAAGGCCAACGGGAGAAGGGUUGUUAAGGAACUCGGCAAAUUGACCCCGUAACUUCGGGGGAAGGGGUGCUGCAGCAAUGCAGCCGCAGAGAAUCGGCCCAAGCAACUGUUUACCAAAAACACAGGUUUGUGCUAAAUCGAAAGAUGACGUAUACGAGCUGACGCCUGCCCGGUGCUGGAAGGUUAAGAGGAGAUGUGCAAGCAUUGAAUCGAAGCCCCAGUGAACGGCGGCCGUAACGAUAACGGUCCUAAGGUAGCGAAAUUCCUUGUCAGGUAAGUUCUGACCCGCAUGAAAGGCGUAAUGAUUUGGGCACUGUCUCAACAGCCCGCCCGGCGAAAUUGUAGUACCGGUGAAGAUGCCGGUUACCCGCGACAAGACGGAAAGACCCCAUGGAGCUUUACUGUAGCCUAAUAUUGGGUUUCGAUGUUGCAUGCACAGGAUAGAUGGGACACUGGGAAGCAGGUGCUUUGGCGCUUGUGGAGUGGCCGUUGGGAUACCAUCCUUGCGAUAUUGGAAUUCUAACCUGCGCCUUUGAAUCAAGGCGGGGGACAUUGUUAGGUGGGCAGUUUGACUGGGGCGGUCGCCUCCUAAAGAGUAACGGAGGCGUUCAAAGGUUCGCUCAGCUUGAACGGAAAUCAAGCAAAAGAGUGCAAACGCAGAAGCGAGCCUAACUGCGAGACUGACGGGUCGAGCAGUAACGAAAGUUGGAGUUAGUGAUCCGGUAUGUGAGUGGAAAUGCCAUCGCUCAACGGAUAAAAGUUACCCUGGGGAUAACAGGCUGAUCUCCCCCAAGAGUCCACAUCGACGGGGAGGUUUGGCACCUCGAUGUCGGCUCAUCGCAUCCUGGGGCUGUAUUCGGUCCCAAGGGUUUGGCUGUUCGCCAAUUAAAGCGGUACGCGAGCUGGGUUCAGAACGUCGUGAGACAGUUCGGUCCCUAUCUGUCGUGGGCGCAGGACAUUUGAUGGGAGCUGUUCCUAGUACGAGAGGACCGGAGCGGACGUACCUCUGGCGCACCAGUUGUUCUGCCAAGAGCAUAGCUGGGCAACUAUGUACGGAUCGGAUAAACGCUGAAAGCAUCUAAGCGUGAAGCCGACCCAAAGAUAAGAUAUCCCAUUGUUUCAAACAAGUAAGACCCCUUGAAGACUACAAGGUUGAUAGGCACGAUGUGUAAGUGGAGCGAUCCAUUCAGCAAGUGUGUACUAAUAGGUCGAGGGCUUGACCG
This 1625-nucleotide ribosomal RNA is filed under the name metagenome. Its description in RNAcentral is "bacterial LSU rRNA". It matches the Rfam family "Bacterial large subunit ribosomal RNA", at positions 1217 to 2925 of the family's 2925-position model. The record is from RNAcentral.